GAGGGUUUGCAUCUGCAGCCCCUUCUUCCUUUGGAAUCCUGCUGCUGCCCCUUGCUGCAAGACAGGGAGACCUCAAAGGCAUGGAUUCAUGAAGGUAUUU
Long non-coding RNA from Lagopus leucura (white-tailed ptarmigan), 100 nucleotides. RefSeq lists it as uncharacterized. The transcript is spliced from 3 exons. Lineage: Eukaryota; Metazoa; Chordata; Aves; Galliformes; Phasianidae. The record is from RefSeq and is a predicted model, not a curated record.